AAAACAAUAUUGUAUGUCGUGUAAACAAAAGUCAAUGCGUCAUUUUACCACUUUUAAAGCUAUUUGGUUUUCCUUUUAAAAUGGCAUCCGACUAAAGUGGAGACGGUUAAACGUGAAAGCUGCAGUGGGUAGAACUAAAAAAAAAACAUCAGAAUUUGAAGUAGAGUGAGACCUCUUAUUGCAGCUCUCCCUCUCCCGUGUGUCACAGCCAAUAGGAACGCUCGCUCUCUCUCUCUCUCUCUCUAUUUGAACUGACCUGUGAUUGACCAAAGGCUGCUGUUACGGGCUAGAUUUACUAAAGCCUGAAAACAGAGCAAAUAGGAGGUGCAGAAUAAAGUUUUCUCUUAGACCACUGGAAUUACAAUAUGGUGAAAGAUUGUGGAAUUUCUGCCAAACAAUGCCA
Etheostoma cragini (Arkansas darter) is the source of this 403-nucleotide long non-coding RNA. RefSeq lists it as uncharacterized. The record is from RefSeq and is a predicted model, not a curated record. The transcript has 2 exons. Lineage: Eukaryota; Metazoa; Chordata; Actinopteri; Perciformes; Percidae.